Nicrophorus vespilloides is the source of this 271-nucleotide long non-coding RNA. RefSeq lists it as uncharacterized. The transcript is spliced from 3 exons. Lineage: Eukaryota; Metazoa; Arthropoda; Insecta; Coleoptera; Silphidae. The record is from RefSeq and is a predicted model, not a curated record.
GUUGAACUUGUUCGAGAAAUCUUCAAGCGAAUUGAGAUUCCAGUACGAUGAUUGGUUAAGAAAGGAAGAAUUGCUUAACAGUUUGUUGAGCAGCAUAUUUAAAUUGAUGCCUACAGAUGUCCUCAGAUACACUGAGGGAAAAACGCAACCGGUCUUUGAAUGUUUUUUCGAAAAGCCCAAACUACUUCUUGGAGAAGAAAUAAACAGCGAAAAAUUGGAGCGAUUCGUUUGUUGGAUUUACGCUUCAACAUUGGCGCAGCUUCCGACUUCA